UACAAAUUCCAUUAACUUUUGUUUGUCUGGGAAAGCCUUUAUUUCUCCUUCCUAUCUGAAGAAUAACUUUGCCGGAUAGAGUACUCCUGGCUGAUAGAUUUUUUUCUUUCAAUAUCUGGAAUAUAUCAUUCCACUCUCU
Molecule: non-coding RNA, 139 nt
Organism: Ceratotherium simum simum (southern white rhinoceros)
Lineage: Eukaryota; Metazoa; Chordata; Mammalia; Perissodactyla; Rhinocerotidae
Source: RefSeq, a predicted model, not a curated record